CCCUUAGAUGUUCUGGGCCGCACGCGCGCUACACUGAUGCACUCAACGAGUCUCACCUUGACCGAAAGGUCCGGGAAAUCUUCGAACUUGCAUCGUGAUGGGGAUAGAUUAUUGCAACUAUUAAUCUUCAACGAGGAAUACCUAGUAGGCGUGUGUCAUCAGCGCGCGUCGAUUACGUCCCUGCCCUUUGUACACACCGCCCGUCGCUACUACCGAUUGAAUGAUUUAGUGAGGACUUCGGACUGGGACCGAUGCGGCUUUCGGGCUGCGUCGGUAUUCUGGAAAGAUGUCCAAACUGUAUCAUUUAGAGGAAGUAAAAGUCGUAACA
RNAcentral lists this ribosomal RNA (328 nucleotides) under uncultured eukaryote. RNAcentral's name for it is "partial 18S ribosomal RNA". It matches the Rfam family "Eukaryotic small subunit ribosomal RNA", at positions 1470 to 1796 of the family's 1831-position model. The record is from RNAcentral.